UUCUUCUCUCUGAUUCAAGUAGAAAUACAAAUGGAAAAAAUCAAAGGGUAUUUAGAAAAACAAAAAUCUCGGCACCAAUACUUUGUCUACCCACUUCUCUUUCAGAAAUAUAUUUAUGCAUUUGCCCACGAUUAUGGAUUAAAUCGUUCUGAACCUGUGGAAAUAGUUGUUAGUUGUAAUAACAAGAAAUUUAGUUCAAUACUUGUGAAACGUUUAAUUAUUCGAAUGUAUCAGCAGAAUUUUUUGGAUAACCUCGGUUAA
RNAcentral lists this ribosomal RNA (261 nucleotides) under Triticum aestivum (bread wheat). RNAcentral describes it as "partial small subunit ribosomal RNA". The record is from RNAcentral. Lineage: Eukaryota; Viridiplantae; Streptophyta; Magnoliopsida; Poales; Poaceae.